UGGCGCACGGUGGAGUAACACGUGACUAACCUACCCUCGAGUGGGGAAUAACCUAGAGAAAUCUGGGCUAAUACCGCAUAACACUUACGAGUCAAAGCAGCAAUGCGCUUGGGGAGGGGGUCGCGGCAGAUUAGCUAGUUGGCGGGGUAAUGGCCCACCAAGGCGAUGAUCUGUAUCCGGCCUGAGAGGGCGCACGGACACACUGGAACUGAAACACGGUCCAG
Molecule: ribosomal RNA, 224 nt
Filed under: uncultured bacterium
Lineage: Bacteria
Description: partial 16S ribosomal RNA
Rfam family: Bacterial small subunit ribosomal RNA
Source: RNAcentral